Papio anubis (olive baboon) is the source of this 1645-nucleotide long non-coding RNA. NCBI's taxonomy places the organism in Eukaryota, Metazoa, Chordata, Mammalia, Primates, Cercopithecidae. The record is from Ensembl.
AUGACGACACGGAUGAUGAUGAUGCCGGCGCGUACACAGGACGCAGGGACGGCAGCCAUCACAGCACCGCACCUUGGAGGCAGGAAACCUGGCAGGGGCCCGCGCAUUCCACGAUGGGGAGUGAAGCCCAGCGAUGGAAACCACCUGGAGGACGUGCCGCAGGCUGACGGCCCAGGCAGGUGUUUAGCCUGUGAACCCCACGUCGUCUGUAAAAGUGCCAGUGGCUUUGGGGCCACAGGGUCUUUUUGGAGAAGCGUUUGGUGCUGUUGGCUCCAGGGCGGUUUCCAGGGGAGUGGGAGUGGGUGCGGAGGGACGGACUCCCAUGGGCGUGGGGCUCAGGGCGCGGGGCUGGGGGCACAGGGUACAGGGCGCGGGGGGUUGGGCACUUGCUUGUGUGGGCGGGGUGCCCUCUGCUGGUGGAGGUGGGCAUGGCGGCAGGCUGGGCGCUGCAGGCUGGGAGAAGGCUCUGGCCCCUACACCUUCCUAUGGGCCUCUUCCGGGCCCGAUUUAGCAGUGGUUCUGCAGGUACAUGCAUGCAUAAAGACUCGGUUCUCUAAGUCCCUGCGCUAGAGAGAAGUCGUUGUGUCCCCCUCUGGCAGCUGCCGCGUCUGGAACGCCAAGCCCUGCGGGGAGGCCGCUCCCGAAAGGACCCCCAGGCCCCGCCCGCGGCCUAUGAUGCUGGGAAGUGUCGGCAGGUGGCGCCGCUGCACCGUCUCGCCCCUUCCCUGUUCCUGCGACACCAGCAGGGGGCGGAGCCAGCGCCCGCCCUGCCCCGCGACCCCGCCCCUGGGAAGUCCCCGCGCGACGGGACUCACGGGGCCUUCCGGAACCGCCUUGGACAGGUGCCCAGCGCUCUGCUGUUUGCAGAAGCGUCACCACCUGCAAUUUCCUGCACACUCUGCAGAACAGAGUGUUGGGGGGGGUGGGUAAUGUGAUCCUGGAGUACAGAAGGGGAAACCGAGGCACAAGAGAUUCCUCCUAACCUGGCCUUAAAUCUGACUGCUGGGAAGUGACCACACAGGGCCUGGUGGUUCACUCUUCCCCUGUCCUUCCCAGGGCCCCCCAAUCCCUGGUGGACUGGCCCCUAGGUGGGCUGUGGGCACUGGGAAACCUUCCUUGUGGGGCUCAGUCCUGGGGCCUCCUGCGUGGUGCUGGGUGGAUCUGCCUAGCAGGGACUGCCAGGACUGGGUGCUGGAAACAUUCGGGUUCCUACUUAGGGCUCAGCCCCCAGGGGCAGGAGGUGAGGGGUCAUCCUUUAGCCUUAAUGGCCAGGCCUGACUGGGGCCUGGCAGGUGCAGCAGGACGGGCCACUUGGAUCCCUCAGACCUCCAGUCCCUGCCUCCCAGCUCCAUGGCCUCCCAGAGGUCCCCAGCCAGGACACAGGCCUUUCCAGAGCUGCCUGGGGAGAUCAGGGUCAGGGUGCCCCUCCCUGGCGGAUCCUGUCACACAUGGAGAGUGUGGUCUGCCCGAGUGGCACUGGCACCUGGUGCAGUGUGAGAUCCCAGGCGCAGCGUGGGCGUCUAGGCACAGUGCCGGCUCCCAGGUGCAGCGUGGCGACAAAGCGCAGUGUAAGCUGCUGGGUACAGCAUGGGCACCUCGUGCCUGGGGGAGCUGCAUGCUGGGUGGCAGUUGCUCUGUCCCUUCU